GCAAGUCGAGCGGAAACGAAGAGGUGCUUGCACCUCUGGCGUCGAGCGGCGGACGGGUGAGUAAUGCUUGGGAAUAUGCCUUAUGGUGGGGGACAACAGUUGGAAACGACUGCUAAUACCGCAUGAUGUCUACGGACCAAAGUGGGGGACCUUCGGGCCUCACGCCAUAAGAUUAGCCCAAGUGGGAUUAGCUAGUUGGUGAGGUAAUGGCUCACCAAGGCGACGAUCCCUAGCCGGUUUGAGAGGACGAUCAGCCACACUGGGACUGAGACACGGCCCAGACUCCUACGGGAGGCAGCAGUGGGGAAUAUUGCACAAUGGGCGCAAGCCUGAUGCAGCCAUGCCGCGUGUGUGAAGAAGGCCUUCGGGUUGUAAAGCACUUUCAGUAAGGAGGAAAGGUUAAGUGUUAAUAGCACUUAGCUGUGACGUUACUUACAGAAGAAGCACCGGCUAACUCCGUGCCAGCAGCCGCGGUAAUACGGAGGGUGCGAGCGUUAAUCGGAAUUACUGGGCGUAAAGCGUACGCAGGCGGUUUGUUAAGCGAGAUGUGAAAGCCCCGGGCUCAACCUGGGAACUGCAUUUCGAACUGGCAAACUAAAGUGUGAUA
This 607-nucleotide ribosomal RNA is filed under the name uncultured bacterium. RNAcentral describes it as "bacterial SSU rRNA". It matches the Rfam family "Bacterial small subunit ribosomal RNA", at positions 57 to 653 of the family's 1533-position model. The record is from RNAcentral.